GUGACGUUUGGAAGCAGGUGGCUGUGCAGUUGGUGACCUCCGUUUUUCCCACGGGGCUGGUCUGCCACCGGCUGUGUUCUCGUCCCCAUCCUGGGCGUCUGCCUGUCGGCGUAUGUCACAUUGGCUUGUUCUCAUGGCGCAUAGUGCCCUGCCGCCUGGAUUCACCACAGUCCUUCAGCCAGCCCCCACUGUGUGCCCUCUGUGGGUGUUAACUCCAGGUACUUGGGCUGCAGGGUAGAGGAGGCAGCCAGGCCUGAGGCUGUGCCCCUCUGUGGCCUUAGGAGUCACAGCAGCCGCCUCUGAGAGGCCAACAGGUAUCAGGGCACCCAGAGCCACCACUGUGUCCAGAACGGCAUUUCCACUUCACUGGCCAGGUCUAAAGUCCUGAGGGGCCUUUGCUCCAGGGACCCGGGGUGCCUCCCUCAGCAGGGCAGGAACUAGGCCAGGAAUACCAUGGGGCACUGAAGGAGGACCCUCCCUCUAUCCCUGUAACCCUCCAUCCCUGUACCUCUCCAUCCCUCCAUCCCUGCACCCCUCCGUCCCUGUGCCCUUCUAUCUCUCCAUCCCUGCACCCCUCCAUCCCUGUACCCCAUCCCUGUACCCCUCCGUCCCCCAUCCCAGCACCCCUCCAUCCCUGUACCCCUCCAUCCUUCCAUCCCUGCACCCUCCAUCCCUCUAUCCCUGCACCCCUCCAUCCCUGUACCCUCCAUUCCUCUAUCCCUGCACCCCUCCAUCCCUGUACCCUUCCAUCACUCCAUCCCUGCAUCCCUCUGUCCCUGCAUCCCUCCAUCCCUGCACCCCUCCAUCCCUCCAUCCCUGCACCCCUCCUUCGUUGUACCCCUCCAUCCUCCAUCUCUGCAUCCCUGCACCCCUCCAUCCUCCAUCCCUGUACCCUUACAUCCUCCAUCCCUGCAUUCCUCCAUCGCAGCAUCCCUGCAUGCCUCCGUUCUCUGCAUCCCUCCACCCCAGUAUCCCUGCACCUCUUCAUCCCUCCAUUCCUGCAUCCCUCUAUUUUUCCAUCCCUCCAUUCCUGUAUCCCUGUACCCUCCAUCCUCCAUCCCAGCAUCCCUCCAUCCCUGCUCCCCACUCUCACUUCCCUUCCCUUCACAGACAGGCUUUUCCUGCCAUCCUCAGACCCCACCCAGGGUUACCUGAUGCCUUUCCAACCGCACACGGGGACUGACUCACCUCUCUCUUUCUCAGUCCCAAAGUCCCGAAAGAGAGCAUCUGAUGUGGCCAGCUUGUGACAAGGCGUCCACCUUCUGUCCAUGACACGGAGGCCAGGGGAAGAAGGAGAUCCGGUUGGCAGCUAAACCGCGCUGGGAACAGGGGCCUGAGUCCUGGACUAGGGCUCUUUCCCCGGGGCUGCUGCAGAUGGGGAGGAGCCUACACCCGCCUCCCGAGUGCUCACCUUGAUGAAAGGACUGUGCUAACCAGACCUGACAGGCUGGAGAAUGGCCAGUCAGCCUGAGGCCACCGCGGGACACCACCUAGGCCCAGCUUCUCCCCUGACCCUUUAUGUGAACCAGAACAGCCGCUUCCCCAGUGAGCUGUCAGAAGGCGUCGUGCCUGUCUUGCUAGUGGGGAAACUGAGGCUCAGAGAGGCAGAAGACUUGCCCAAGAUCACACCACCGGGACCCAGGAUUCAAGCACAGGCCUGCCCAGGCUCUCUGUGGCCUCCUGGCUGCGAGGAGGCAGCCAGGGACCAGGUGCCACCCUUCUGAGGUGAGGCAAGGAAUGCCUGUCCCUUGGGCACAUCUAACUUGGUGAAGGUCCCAC
Molecule: long non-coding RNA, 1779 nt
Filed under: Pan troglodytes (chimpanzee)
Lineage: Eukaryota; Metazoa; Chordata; Mammalia; Primates; Hominidae
Description: long non-coding RNA NONPTRT017970
Source: RNAcentral